RNAcentral lists this ribosomal RNA (1195 nucleotides) under Escherichia coli. RNAcentral's name for it is "partial 23S ribosomal RNA". It matches the Rfam family "Bacterial large subunit ribosomal RNA", at positions 713 to 1890 of the family's 2925-position model. The record is from RNAcentral. Lineage: Bacteria; Pseudomonadati; Pseudomonadota; Gammaproteobacteria; Enterobacterales; Enterobacteriaceae.
ACCCGAAACCCGGUGAUCUAGCCAUGGGCAGGUUGAAGGUUGGGUAACACUAACUGGAGGACCGAACCGACUAAUGUUGAAAAAUUAGCGGAUGACUUGUGGCUGGGGGUGAAAGGCCAAUCAAACCGGGAGAUAGCUGGUUCUCCCCGAAAGCUAUUUAGGUAGCGCCUCGUGAAUUCAUCUCCGGGGGUAGAGCACUGUUUCGGCAAGGGGGUCAUCCCGACUUACCAACCCGAUGCAAACUGCGAAUACCGGAGAAUGUUAUCACGGGAGACACACGGCGGGUGCUAACGUCCGUCGUGAAGAGGGAAACAACCCAGACCGCCAGCUAAGGUCCCAAAGUCAUGGUUAAGUGGGAAACGAUGUGGGAAGGCCCAGACAGCCAGGAUGUUGGCUUAGAAGCAGCCAUCAUUUAAAGAAAGCGUAAUAGCUCACUGGUCGAGUCGGCCUGCGCGGAAGAUGUAACGGGGCUAAACCAUGCACCGAAGCUGCGGCAGCGACGCUGAUGCGUUGUUGGGUAGGGGAGCGUUCUGUAAGCCUGCGAAGGUGUGCUGUGAGGCAUGCUGGAGGUAUCAGAAGUGCGAAUGCUGACAUAAGUAACGAUAAAGCGGGUGAAAAGCCCGCUCGCCGGAAGACCAAGGGUUCCUGUCCAACGUUAAUCGGGGCAGGGUGAGUCGACCCCUAAGGCGAGGCCGAAAGGCGUAGUCGAUGGGAAACAGGUUAAUAUUCCUGUACUUGGUGUUACUGCGAAGGGGGGACGGAGAAGGCUAUGUUGGCCGGGCGACGGUUGUCCCGGUUUAAGCGUGUAGGCUGGUUUUCCAGGCAAAUCCGGAAAAUCAAGGCUGAGGCGUGAUGACGAGGCACUACGGUGCUGAAGCAACAAAUGCCCUGCUUCCAGGAAAAGCCUCUAAGCAUCAGGUAACAUCAAAUCGUACCCCAAACCGACACAGGUGGUCAGGUAGAGAAUACCAAGGCGCUUGAGAGAACUCGGGUGAAGGAACUAGGCAAAAUGGUGCCGUAACUUCGGGAGAAGGCACGCUGAUAUGUAGGUGAAGUCCCUUGCGGAUGGAGCUGAAAUCAGUCGAAGAUACCAGCUGGCUGCAACUGUUUAUUAAAAACACAGCACUGUGCAAACACGAAAGUGGACGUAUACGGUGUGACGCCUGCCCGGUGCCGGAAGGUUAAUUGAUGGGGU